RNAcentral lists this transfer RNA (76 nucleotides) under Pedobacter sp. Its description in RNAcentral is "tRNA-Pro". It matches the Rfam family "tRNA". From Rfam's summary of the family: Transfer RNA (tRNA) molecules are approximately 80 nucleotides in length. Their secondary structure includes four short double-helical elements and three loops (D, anti-codon, and T loops). Lineage: Bacteria; Pseudomonadati; Bacteroidota; Sphingobacteriia; Sphingobacteriales; Sphingobacteriaceae. The record is from RNAcentral.
CAGGAUGUAUAUCAGUUGGUAGAUAGCUUGCUUUGGGAGCAAGAGGUCAAAGGUUCGAGUCCUUUUAUCCUGACAA